RNAcentral lists this ribosomal RNA (373 nucleotides) under uncultured bacterium. Its description in RNAcentral is "bacterial SSU rRNA". It matches the Rfam family "Bacterial small subunit ribosomal RNA", at positions 28 to 404 of the family's 1533-position model. The record is from RNAcentral.
GACGAACGCUGGCGGCGUGCUUAACACAUGCAAGUCGAGCGGUAAGGCCCUUCGGGGUACACGAGCGGCGAACGGGUGAGUAACACGUGGGUGACCUGCCUCUAGCUCUGGGAUAAGCCUGGGAACUGGGUCUAAUACCGGAUAUGACUCCACGGCGCAUGUUGUGGGGUGGAAAGCCUUGUGUGGCUAGAGAUGGGCCCGCGGCCUAUCAGCUUGUUGGUGGGGUGAUGGCCUACCAAGGCGACGACGGGUAGCCGGCCUGAGAGGGCGACCGGCCACACUGGGACUGAGACACGGCCCAGACUCCUACGGGAGGCAGCAGGUGGGGAAUCUUGCGCAAUGGGCGAAAGCCUGACGCAGCGACGCCGCGUGA